UUUACGGAGAGUUUGAUCCUGGCUCAGGAUGAACGCUGGCGGCGUGCUUAACACAUGCAAGUCGAACGGUGAAGCCAAGCUUGCUUGGUGGAUCAGUGGCGAACGGGUGAGUAACACGUGAGCAACCUGCCCUGGACUCUGGGAUAAGCGCUGGAAACGGCGUCUAAUACUGGAUAUGAGCUCUCAUCGCAUGGUGGGGGUUGGAAAGAUUUUUCGGUCUGGGAUGGGCUCGCGGCCUAUCAGCUUGUUGGUGAGGUAAUGGCUCACCAAKGCGUCGACGGGUAGCCGGCCUGAGAGGGUGACCGGCCACACUGCGACUGCGACACGGCCCAGACUCCUACGGGAGGCAGCAGUGGGGAAUAUUGCACAAUGGGCGGAAGCCUGAUGCAGCAACGCCGCGUGAGGGAUGACGGCCUUCGGGUUGUAARCCUCUUUUAGCAGGGAAGAAGCGAGAGUGACGGUACCUGCAGAAAAAGCGCCGGCUAACUACGUGCCAGCAGCCGCGGUAAUACGUAGGGCGCAAGCGUUAUCCGGAAUUAUUGGGCGUAAAGAGCUCGUAGGCGGUUUGUCGCGUCUGCUGUG
RNAcentral lists this ribosomal RNA (582 nucleotides) under Microbacterium sp. TL13. Its description in RNAcentral is "bacterial SSU rRNA". Lineage: Bacteria; Bacillati; Actinomycetota; Actinomycetes; Micrococcales; Microbacteriaceae. The record is from RNAcentral.